UUAUGUAGAAAAAAAAUGUAAAAAAUGUAUCUGAAAAAACUGUUGCAUCAUGCUGUUUCCAAUUAAAGCAAUUAUUGAGUGUAAACUGGUGAACAUGUUUACUUAGUGGGUGUCAGGAGGAUUUUCACUUCCAAAAGUACA
Long non-coding RNA from Sphaeramia orbicularis (orbiculate cardinalfish), 141 nucleotides. RefSeq lists it as uncharacterized. NCBI's taxonomy places the organism in Eukaryota, Metazoa, Chordata, Actinopteri, Kurtiformes, Apogonidae. The record is from RefSeq and is a predicted model, not a curated record. The transcript is spliced from 3 exons.